RNAcentral lists this ribosomal RNA (704 nucleotides) under uncultured bacterium. RNAcentral's name for it is "bacterial SSU rRNA". It matches the Rfam family "Bacterial small subunit ribosomal RNA", at positions 141 to 844 of the family's 1533-position model. The record is from RNAcentral.
GGACAACCUUCCGAAAGGGAGGCUAAUCCCGCGUAUAUCGGUUUCGGGCAUCCGAGAUCGAGGAAAGAUUCAUCGGAAGAGGAUGGGCAUGCGGCGCAUUAGCUAGACGGCGGGGUAACGGCCCACCGUGGCGACGAUGCGUAGGGGUUCUGAGAGGAAGGUCCCCCACACUGGUACUGAGACACGGACCAGACUCCUACGGGAGGCAGCAGUGAGGAAUAUUGGUCAAUGGGAGAGAUCCCGAACCAGCCAAGCCGCGUGAGGGAAGACGGCCCUAUGGGUUGUAAACCUCUUUUGUCGGAGAACAAAACCCGGGACGUGUCCCGGACUGCGUGUAUCCGAAGAAAAAGCAUCGGCUAACUCCGUGCCAGCAGCCGCGGUAAUACGGAGGAUGCGAGCGUUAUCCGGAUUUAUUGGGUUUAAAGGGUGCGUAGGCGGUUCGUUAAGUCAGCGGUAAAAUUGCGGGGCUCAACCCCGUCGAGCCGUUGAAACUGGCAGACUUGAGUUGGCGAGAAGUACGCGGAAUGCGCGGUGUAGCGGUGAAAUGCAUAGAUAUCGCGCAGAACUCCGAUUGCGAAGGCAGCGUACCGGCGCCAGACUGACGCUGAGGCACGAAAGCGUGGGGAUCGAACAGGAUUAGAUACCCUGGUAGUCCACGCAGUAAACGAUGAAUGCUGGUUGUCCGGGUCGAAUGAGAUCUGGGC